This 24-nucleotide non-coding RNA is filed under the name Drosophila melanogaster (fruit fly). RNAcentral also lists the same sequence under 4 other names. The record is from RNAcentral. Lineage: Eukaryota; Metazoa; Arthropoda; Insecta; Diptera; Drosophilidae.
CGGAUAGCUCAGUCGGUAGAGCAU